UAUCACUCAGCGGGUACGUAGGUAUUUAUUGCUUUCGUUUUCCGUGUACUUUGUUGUCUGCUGGUUAGCAUCAAUUUUGAUUGUCAUAAAAAGGUUAAGGGGAUGUGGCUCCUUCGGGAGUGUUAUAACCCUUAGCGGAAUGUGGCGAUUGGGAUUGAGGAUUGCAACGAAUACCUUUAGGGCAGUUCCGUCUGGUCUCUUGUUUGACGUUCAGAUGGCAAAAGCUUGCUUUUGUUGUUUGAAAGUUAGCAAAUAGAUUGGAAAGUGAAUUAAUUCGUUAAGGAUGCUGACGUA
RNAcentral lists this ribosomal RNA (294 nucleotides) under uncultured Glomeromycotina. Its description in RNAcentral is "partial 28S ribosomal RNA". Lineage: Eukaryota; Fungi; Glomeromycota. The record is from RNAcentral.